RNAcentral lists this transfer RNA (89 nucleotides) under Caldithrix abyssi. Its description in RNAcentral is "tRNA-Ser". It matches the Rfam family "tRNA". Rfam says of the family: Transfer RNA (tRNA) molecules are approximately 80 nucleotides in length. Their secondary structure includes four short double-helical elements and three loops (D, anti-codon, and T loops). Further hydrogen bonds mediate the characteristic L-shaped molecular structure. tRNAs have two regions of fundamental functional importance: the anti-codon, which is responsible for specific mRNA codon recognition, and the 3' end, to which the tRNAs corresponding amino acid is attached (by aminoacyl-tRNA synthetases). tRNAs cope with the degeneracy of the genetic code in two manners: having more than one tRNA (with a specific anti-codon) for a particular amino acid; and 'wobble' base-pairing, i.e. permitting non-standard base-pairing at the 3rd anti-codon position. Lineage: Bacteria; Pseudomonadati; Calditrichota; Calditrichia; Calditrichales; Calditrichaceae. The record is from RNAcentral.
GGAGAGGUGCGAGAGUGGUUGAAUCGGCACGACUGGAAAUCGUGUGUACGCCCUGCGUACCGUGGGUUCGAAUCCCACCCUCUCCGCCG